RNAcentral lists this ribosomal RNA (710 nucleotides) under Phaeobacter sp. RNAcentral's name for it is "bacterial SSU rRNA". It matches the Rfam family "Bacterial small subunit ribosomal RNA", at positions 40 to 795 of the family's 1533-position model. The record is from RNAcentral. Lineage: Bacteria; Pseudomonadati; Pseudomonadota; Alphaproteobacteria; Rhodobacterales; Roseobacteraceae.
CGGGGGCAGCUUACACAUGCAAGUCGAGCGCACUCUUCGGAGUGAGCGGCGGACGGGUUAGUAACGCGUGGGAACGUGCCCUUCUCUAAGGAAUAGCCACUGGAAACGGUGAGUAAUACCUUAUACGCCCUUCGGGGGAAAGAUUUAUCGGAGAAGGAUCGGCCCGCGUUAGAUUAGAUAGUUGGUGGGGUAAUGGCCUACCAAGUCUACGAUCUAUAGCUGGUUUUAGAGGAUGAUCAGCAACACUGGGACUGAGACACGGCCCAGACUCCUACGGGAGGCAGCAGUGGGGAAUCUUGGACAAUGGGCGCAAGCCUGAUCCAGCCAUGCCGCGUGAGUGAUGAAGGCCUUAGGGUCGUAAAGCUCUUUCGCCAGAGAUGAUAAUGACAGUAUCUGGUAAAGAAACCCCGGCUAACUCCGUGCCAGCAGCCGCGGUAAUACGGAGGGGGUUAGCGUUGUUCGGAAUUACUGGGCGUAAAGCGCACGUAGGCGGAUCAGAAAGUAUAGGGUGAAAUCCCAGGGCUCAACCCUGGAACUGCCUUGUAAACUCCUGGUCUUGAGUUCGAGAGAGGUGAGUGGAAUUCCGAGUGUAGAGGUGAAAUUCGUAGAUAUUCGGAGGAACACCAGUGGCGAAGGCGGCUCACUGGCUCGAUACUGACGCUGAGGUGCGAAAGUGUGGGGAGCAAACAGGAUUAGAUACCCUGGUAGUC